This 253-nucleotide ribosomal RNA is filed under the name uncultured bacterium. Its description in RNAcentral is "partial 16S ribosomal RNA". It matches the Rfam family "Bacterial small subunit ribosomal RNA", at positions 524 to 776 of the family's 1533-position model. The record is from RNAcentral.
UACGUAGGGGGCAAGCGUUGUCCGGAUUUAUUGGGCGUAAAGAGCGUGUAGGCGGCUAUACAGGUCCGCUGUGAAAACUCGAGGCUCAACCUCGAGACGUCGGUGGAAACCGUAUGGCUAGAGUCCGGAAGAGGAGAGUGGAAUUCCUGGUGUAGCGGUGAAAUGCGCAGAUAUCAGGAGGAACACCAAUUGCGAAGGCAGCUCGCUGGGACGUUACUGACGCUGAGACGCGAAAGCGUGGGGAGCAAACAGG